RNAcentral lists this long non-coding RNA (305 nucleotides) under Setaria italica (foxtail millet). RNAcentral's name for it is "long non-coding RNA (SITA_LNC004699)". Lineage: Eukaryota; Viridiplantae; Streptophyta; Magnoliopsida; Poales; Poaceae. The record is from RNAcentral.
GCUGGUGUAUUUAUAUCAUGAUAUACAAAUGUAUUAGAGAACCGUACAAAAAUUUUACGCUUGCAAAUCUAACUAGAAAUAUUCCUCUAACACUAAAUAAAAUGAAGGGCAACUCUCCUGCGUUUUCGUGAUUAAACAAAAAGUAAAUACUCCUCUAACAUGACCAUAAAGUACAGAAAAAUUGGCAUUAUUUUUCGGUAACCUUUCAGAAGCAAUUGUUUUUCCCCUUUUCUGCAACCUUUCUAAAACACAAUUGGCAUGUGGCAUAGUAAUUCAGUCAAAAUUUGGGAUGUGCAUCGAUGCUG